Molecule: non-coding RNA, 21 nt
Filed under: Caenorhabditis elegans
Lineage: Eukaryota; Metazoa; Nematoda; Chromadorea; Rhabditida; Rhabditidae
Source: RNAcentral
UUGAAGAAAACCCUGUUAAAA